GGCGGCGUGCUUAACACAUGCAAGUCGAACGAGACUAUUGAAAGCUUGCUUUUGAGAGUCGAGUGGCAAACGGGUGAGUAACGCGUAGACAACCUGCCGUAAAGAUGGGGACAACAGUUCGAAAGGACUGCUAAUACCGAAUGUUGUAGAGUUUCCGCAUGGGGAUCCUACUAAAGGUGGCCUCUACUUGUAAGCUAUCGCUUUACGAUGGGUCUGCGUCUGAUUAGCUAGUUGGUGGGGUAACGGCCUACCAAGGCGACGAUCAGUAGCUGGUCUGAGAGGAUGAACGGCCACAUUGGAACUGAGACACGGUCCAGACUCCUACGGGAGGCAGCAGUGGGGAAUCUUCCGCAAUGGGCGCAAGCCUGACGGAGCAACGCCGCGUGAGUGAAGAAGGGUUUCGACUCGUAAAGCUCUGUUGUCGGGGACGAAUGUCAGGACUCAGAAUAUGGGUUCUGAAUGACGGUACCUGACGAGGAAGCCACGGCUAACUACGUGCCAGCAGCCGCGGUAAUACGUAGGUGGCGAGCGUUAUCCGGAAUCAUUGGGCGUAAAGAGGGAGCAGGCGGUGAUACAGGUCUGGAGGUGAAAGCCCGAAGCUAAACUUCGGGAAGCCCCGGAAACCGGAUCACUGGAGUGCGGAAGAGGAUCGUGGAAUUCCAUGUGUAGCGGUGAAAUGCGUAGAUAUAUGGAGGAACACCAGUGGCGAAGGCGACGGUCUGGUCCGCAACUGACGCUCAGUCCCGAAAGCGUGGGGAGCAAAUAGGAUUAGAUACCCUAGUAGUCCACGCCGUAAACGAUCGAUACUAAGUGUCGGGAGUCAGAUCCCGGUGCUGCAGUCAACGCAAUAAGUAUCGCGCCUGAGUAGUACGCCGGCAACGGUGAAACUCAAAGGAAUUGACGGGGGCCCGCACAAGCGGAGGAACAUGUGGUUUAAUUCGAUGAUACGCGAGGAACCUUACCCGGGCUUGAAUUGCAGAGGAAGGAUUUGGAGACAAUGACGCCCUUCGGGGUCUCUGUGAAGGUGCUGCAUGGUUGUCGUCAGCUCGUGCCGUGAGGUGUCGGCUUAAGUGCCAUAACGAGCGCAACCCCUCUCCUUAGUUGCCAUCAGGUCAAGCUGGGCACUCUGGGGACACUGCCACCGUAAGGUGUGAGGAAGGUGGGGAUGACGUCAAAUCAGCACGGCCCUUACGUCCGGGGCUACACACGUGUUACAAUGGCAGGUACAGAGAGAUGGUGUUCUGCAAAGUGCAUCUAAGCCUUAAAGCCUGUCUCAGUUCGGACUGGGGUCUGCAACCCGACCCCACGAAGCUGGAUUCGCUAGUAAUCGAACGUCAGCCAUGGCGCGGUGAAUACGUUCCCGGGC
RNAcentral lists this ribosomal RNA (1366 nucleotides) under uncultured bacterium. RNAcentral's name for it is "partial 16S ribosomal RNA". It matches the Rfam family "Bacterial small subunit ribosomal RNA", at positions 38 to 1379 of the family's 1533-position model. The record is from RNAcentral.